UACAUAGGUGGCGAGCGUUGUCCGGAUUUACUGGGCGUAAAGAGCGCGCAGGCGGUCGUUCAAGUCGCGUGUGAAAGCCCCCGGCUCAACUGGGGAGGGUCACGCGAUACUGAUCGACUCGAAGGCAGGAGAGGGAAGUGGAAUUCCCGGUGUAGUGGUGAAAUGCGUAGAUAUCGGGAGGAACACCAGUGGCGAAGGCGACUUCCUGGCCUGUUCUUGACGCUGAGGCGCGAAAGCUAGGGGAGCAAACGGG
This 253-nucleotide ribosomal RNA is filed under the name uncultured bacterium. RNAcentral describes it as "partial 16S ribosomal RNA". It matches the Rfam family "Bacterial small subunit ribosomal RNA", at positions 524 to 776 of the family's 1533-position model. The record is from RNAcentral.